RNAcentral lists this microRNA precursor (197 nucleotides) under Oryza brachyantha (malo sina). Its description in RNAcentral is "MIR812 microRNA precursor family". It matches the Rfam family "MIR812 microRNA precursor family". Lineage: Eukaryota; Viridiplantae; Streptophyta; Magnoliopsida; Poales; Poaceae. The record is from Rfam by way of RNAcentral.
AAUAAACUAAUCUUUCACUUUUUACAUAUAAUUUUUUGACUCUUCGUCUUAUUUAAAAUUCUUUUACGAUUAAUAUUUUUGUUUUUAUUAAAUGGUAAAUCAUGAAUAAUACUUUACGUGUAACUAAUUUCUUUUAAAUUUCUUAAAAUUUUUUUAAAUAAGACAGAUGAUCAUACGCUGAAUACGAGAACCGAAAG